AGCAGCCGCGGUAAUUCCAGCUCCAAUAGCGUAUAUUAAAGUUGUUGCAGUUAAAAAGCUCGUAGUUGAAUUUCGGGAUUGGCGCAUCGGUCGUGCCUCACGGGGUAUGAACUGGUGCAGUCAAUUUCUCACCUUCUGGAGAACCGCGAUGUCCUUAAUUGGAUGCCGCGGGGAACCAGGACCUUUACUUUGAAAAAUUAGAGUGUUUAAAGCAGGCAUUUUUGCUUGAAUACAUUAGCAUGGAAUAAUAAAAUAGGACGGCAUGGUUCUAUUUUGUUGGUUUCUAGGACCACCGUAAUGAUUAAUAGGGAUAGUUGGGGGCAUUAGUAUUCAAUUGUCAGAGGUGAAAUUCUUGGAUUUAUUGAAGACUAACUACUGCGAAAGCAUUUGCCAAGGAUGUUUUCAUUAAUCAAGAACGAAAGUUAGGGGAUCGAAGACGAUCAGAUACCGUCGUAGUCUUAACCAUAAACUAUGCCGACUAGGAAUCAGACGAUGUUAAUUUUUAAUAGUACUCGUUGGU
Molecule: unclassified non-coding RNA, 520 nt
Filed under: uncultured Entrophospora
Lineage: Eukaryota; Fungi; Glomeromycota; Glomeromycetes; Entrophosporales; Entrophosporaceae
Description: SSU rRNA
Rfam family: Eukaryotic small subunit ribosomal RNA
Source: RNAcentral